GUCAAUGGUUACAGGUUUUCAUGUUUUCUCUCGCAUGGUUGCCCACUGAAGCUAAGCAGGGCUGCGCCCAGUGAGUACCUGGAUGGGAGACCACAUGGGAAAGCAAGGUUGCUGCUGAAA
Molecule: ribosomal RNA, 120 nt
Filed under: Danio rerio (zebrafish)
Lineage: Eukaryota; Metazoa; Chordata; Actinopteri; Cypriniformes; Danionidae
Source: RNAcentral